This 621-nucleotide ribosomal RNA is filed under the name Solobacterium moorei. RNAcentral's name for it is "bacterial SSU rRNA". It matches the Rfam family "Bacterial small subunit ribosomal RNA", at positions 371 to 997 of the family's 1533-position model. Lineage: Bacteria; Bacillati; Bacillota; Erysipelotrichia; Erysipelotrichales; Erysipelotrichaceae. The record is from RNAcentral.
AUGGGGGCAACCCUGACCGAGCAACGCCGCGUGAGUGAAGACGGCCUUCGGGUUGUAAAGCUCUGUUGUAAGGGAAGAACGGUAGAUAGAGAAUAUCUAAGUGACGGUACCUUACCAGAAAGCCACGGCUAACUACGUGCCAGCAGCCGCGGUAAUACGUAGGUGGCGAGCGUUAUCCGGAAUUAUUGGGCGUAAAGGGUGCGUAGGCGGCCUGUUAAGUAAGUGGUUAAAUUGUUGGGCUCAACCCAAUCCAGCCACUUAAACUGGCAGGCUAGAGUAUUGGAGAGGCAAGUGGAAUUCCAUGUGUAGCGGUAAAAUGCGUAGAUAUAUGGAGGAACACCAGUGGCGAAGGCGGCUUGCUAGCCAAAGACUGACGCUCAUGCACGAAAGCGUGGGGAGCAAAUAGGAUUAGAUACCCUAGUAGUCCACGCCGUAAACGAUGAAUACUAAGUAUUGGGGAAACUCAGUGCUGCAGCUAACGCAAUAAGUAUUCCGCCUGUGGAGUAUGCACGCAAGUGUGAAACAUAAAGGAAUUGACUGGGGCCCGCACAAGCGGUGGAGUAUGUGGUUUAAUUCGACGCAACGCGAAGAACCUUACCAGGCCUUGACAUCCCUUGCAAA